Peromyscus eremicus (cactus mouse) is the source of this 5029-nucleotide long non-coding RNA. RefSeq lists it as uncharacterized. The transcript has 4 exons. The record is from RefSeq and is a predicted model, not a curated record. Lineage: Eukaryota; Metazoa; Chordata; Mammalia; Rodentia; Cricetidae.
ACAAAGGCCGGGAGCUCACUGUCCUGGAGGUGUGCAAGCCGAGGGGCUGGGUGCAAGUGGACCUCAGAACACGCUGUCCCCAUCUCACAGGCAUUGUCCUGUCUCAUUGCUGGUAUCUGAGAGGACGUCUGUUUGUCUCCCAGAGUGCUGCCUGUUGUGUCCAUCCUCGGGUGAACCAGACGCCAGCCACAGGAAACAACCCAUGCCAGCUCCCGUUUGAAGAGAGCUGCACCCGAGUGCCUGUGAAGAAGACCACUCCGAGACCCCAAGCCCUACCCCCGCCUCUUCCCCCAGACAUGCAUGGUUCAGGCUGCUUCUACUGAGGAAGGGGACUGGAAAGUCUGACUUGAUCUUGAGGUGUCUCUAGUUUGUGUCAAGUUGAAUCCCUUCUCUUGAUAUUCACGAUUCUUCCUGUCCUGUGUGGAGGCUGGGGCAUUGACAAGAUGGCCUCAUGACCUAUCUUCCUCAUCCUUGGGGAUCUGCAGAAGGUAAGUCCUAGAUGAAUUAUGUUUCCCGAUAAGGCAUAUCCUUCGUUCCCACGGAUGGGCUUCUGAAGGUAGGGCACCUGGGGCAUUGACAGGCAUCCUACAGACAGUGGCUGAGAAGAAAAGCCAACACACUGAGAAGAGCAGUGGGAACACCGGGCUCUACGCUGACAAGAGCCCUGGGUUAGCCCUGGGGCUGUCACAGCUCUCUGGCAUCACCCUGGUGAAGUCCUUUGUGGAAAACAGAGGACAGCCUGGAGCUCUUCAGUGUUUCCCCCACUGUGGCAUCCUGGAGCUCAGGGAUGCUGGGACUCCUGGGAUUGAGACAAGGACUAGGGGGACAAUGAGGGAGGAGGUUGCUGAGAGUAUGGGAUCUAAGCAGGUAAACAAAACAGCAGCUCAGGAAUCAAAGUAAGUAAUAGUUUAAUGGAGUAUUUUAAAAUAUCAAAAUUAAUGCAAAAAUAUAAGAUGAACAAUAUAUCAAGACAGAAUCAGGAUUGCUGGCUGGCUUGACUCUUCUUAUGUCUCCAGGUAGGGCACACCCAAACGAUCCCAUCUUUGAUAAUAUAUAGAAUAUCUGAGGCAUGGCUAUGGGAUUUGGAGAGCUGGGUUCAAUACCAUCCUCUACAGUGACUUCCCUUCUCUGGAUUUUGGCUGUCCCAUCUGUCUUGUGUGGAGGCUGGGGCAUUGCCAAGAUGGCCUCCUGACGCAUCCCCUCUGGCCUGCUGAGGUUACUCUGUCCCUUUUCCUGGGAGUCUGUGUCUUCAGGGUCAUAGACUCCGGGGCUAUUAAUAUCUUGGCCAUCCUGGCUGGAGCAGGGUGUUUAAUGACUGCCAGCUGUGGUUCCACUCCUUCCCCUCCCCCAGAGAGAGAAGAGCCGUUCCUGUUCCCACAUGGGGGGGAGGGAAGCUCGCCACUGCUCAUUUAAACAAGACCUUGCAUGGCAGCUAGGAUGGAGGGGCUGAGUCACAGUCCUCACCCCACUGUGCCCAGAACACCCCGUGGGAGUGCCUGGGGACUUACCCUUCCACUCACUGUUUCUUCCAAGGGGCUGCCUUGGUCUUCCCACCUUCUGUCCCUUUAGGCCAUAUUUCCAAUAGUCUUAGAGGGUCUCUCCUCAGACACCCUGCAGACAUUACAGUCAACAUGUUCCACACCAGGACAUUGUCUCCCCACUGAUCUCCUCACUUUCCUGUUGAUGGCCUAGCAUCCUUUCCAGACAUACACCCUGGGUCCUUCUCCGCAUCAACCACCUACCAUCUCUCGACCUCAUCUGAUAGACCUUCUCUUUGUCUCUACUGGCAAGCACCCCAACAUCGACUGGGCUGGAUUCAGGUGUCCCUGACACCUAAACACGUUUCCUUGGGAUCCUACGGCCUCUCGUAGCCCUCAGACACCUCAGUGACGGUCUGCUAGCAGGUAAACCAGCCUCCUUGGACAGGCUGUGUCCCAGAGUGGGAAGACUACCAGCAAUCAGGCCUUUCCCAGAGAGCAGAUGGAGUCUCUUUGGGUUCAGAUGGUAUGGCUCCCUGUCCUUACCCACCUGAAUUAACUGGCCUUUGCCCUUGGAGACUGUGGGUAGGCUUCAGUUUUAAGGAGCCACCAGAGUAUGGGUUUCAUUAGGUUCUUUUGGGUCAAGGCAGGACUCACAUGAGCCAGUGGUUUGAUCUUAGGGGAUGUGUGGAGCUGGCCUGGGUAUGAUCCUCACCACACCCUCUGUCUCAUUCUUGGGAGCUCAGAACAGAGGCCUGUUUCUGUGUCAGUUGCCUGCCUGUGAGAGACCUUGACUCUAUUAAGCCGGAAGGUGGACAAAGUUGGUAAAGUCUUCGAAGUGUCCACCAGAUGGUGCUAGAGAUGAGUUGGCCUGGUUUGACAGGUCCCUAGCAGGACCAGAGAGCGACCUGGGUAUUGGCAGAGGAAGAAGGGACUGGGAUAGCCUUGCCUGGAGUCACCCCUGCCCCACGGCUGUCAUCAACCCAGGAUAUCGGCACAAGUUUUCUUAGCUCCUCAACCAAGGCUUCCAGCCUCUCUUUAUCCCAGAACACCCUCCCCUGAGCAUCUCACCUUUGAGCAGUGUCCCAACUCUGCCCUUCCUGUCUUGAACACACCUUGAGUCUUACUUUUAUUCACUCUUUAUCCUCUUGGAUGGUACCUGCUCCCCUCUCAGGGCUCCAUGAUUUACCCCACAAGACACUGGGGAGAUUUAGGGCCCAUUCAUUUAGGCAUGGGGUCCCUUCUGGCCUUCACAUAGCUCAGGAGGCAUUUCUGAUAUGUCCUGGGAUGGCACUGAGUGGCAGCAGCCUUUGAAGGGGCCUUGCAGGUAUAUCUGAGCCUCUGCUAGCCCAUCCCGGCCUCUCUGCACCAGCCUAGCAUCCAUGUCUGGCUUGUCCAGCAAGACAACACCACAUGUUUACAAAGUGGAACCACAGAGAUGCGUUUACAGACCCUCAGGAGCUACGUCUCUCUGACCAGCUGAGGUCAUCUGCUUUGCCACACUGCUAUGUCUAAACCUUUCUGUUAGUUACACAGCCUCCCCUCACUGACUUUUGCUGGGACAUCUGCCCUGAUCUAAUCCUCUUGGUUGGCUCUAGGCAACAGCGACCUGGUUAUUGGAUUCUCUGUUUGCUGUGUUUUCAGGAAUGAGUGUGAAACCUUGCUGUUUCUGACUGUUCUAUUGGCUGUUUUGAGUUGCUCCGAUGCAGAAUCAGUCUCCUUCCAGCUGGAUUUAGGGGGUGAGGGUCACAAGGGAACCGUUACAACCUCUUCACACCCAGGUGUGAGUCAAAGGCUCUGGGGGAUAAGCCCUCUCAUGGAAAUGUAGGGCUCCUGUCCAAAGUUAGAAGGGUGGUAACUCCAUCUCUCAUUGGAAAAGGGGGUGACACUUGCUUAGAGGAAGCAGGAGACCCACACCAGCCAGGGGAACUAAGCCUGUUAGAGCCAAUAUUUAUUGUAAUACAAGGUGCAGUUCUGAGGGGACCUGCUGACACCAGCUUGGGUUAGAAGCUGCGUAGCUGCGAGGGUAGAGGGAGGCAUAAGAUGCCUUGACACCCCCUCCUCCUCCCCCGUCUUUAAUGUCAAUGACACACUCUGCCACUCUCUAAGGAGGCACAGCAACUGGGGGAUGAGGGUAAUAUUUCUGGUAAUACAACUCCAAGAGAAUCCAGCAGGUCACAAUAUGUAAAAAGGUAGUCUUUAAAGCCGGGCGGUGGUGGUGCACGCCUUUAAUCCCAGCACUCUGGAGGCAGAGCCAGGUGGAUCUCUGUGAGUUCGAGGCCAGCCUGGUCUACAGAGCAAGAUCGAGGACAGGCACCAAAACUACACAGAGAAACCCCUGUCUCAAAAAAAAAGGGUAGUCUUUAUGUUGGCAUUAGUGACAGGAAAAGAUACUUGUUCUCUCUGAGACUCAGUUUCCUAUUUGUGACCUCAGGAUCAAGGGGCCUGCGUGUUCAUGUCUCUGACCCUUGCUGUGGUUAAUUGGCAUGUAGAUGAGCACCCAGGGUGGGCAGCUCACUAUUGCUUUGGUUGUGCAUAAGGCUGGUGUGACUGGUCCUAUAGACAAAGCCCCCCGGUGAGCACUGGCUGGGGCUGUCUGCUCCCUUCCCAAAGGUAGGUCCCUGAGUUCCCAGGUCUGAGAAUAGACCGACACUGGGACAGUUCCUUCCUGAGCAAGGAUCACAACACAGCCGUGGUCCCCCAAACUGAAACUCCAGGUCACAACCAUAUCUGCCUGAGGUAGAGGAACUCACCCACGGGAGGAGCUGGCAGAUAAAAGCAGGACACUCGGGGAGGGGACUGCAUCCUCAGAGAGGAGUCUCACUGGCAACGCUUGACCCAAAGCGACUUGAGGGCCACAGUGGAAUUCUAGGCACGAACAGGGCAGAACCAUUUUGCCCUCGAGUCUCAAAGCUUUGAGGACCGGCGGUUGCUCUCCAGGAGGCGUAUGCUGAUUUUGUGCGCAUGACUGGCAGAGGAGCCUUUGGAGGCGGAGCCUGAUGCUGGUUCCUCUCCACAUCUUCCAGGGUUGGACCUCCUUGCUCUCCAGCUUCCAUGGACCCGGUCCUGGCUGCAGCAAAGGAAUGUGUCCAGACCAAAGACCUGGCCACGGUCAGUUUGGGUUCUGUCCCCAAUAUUAACCCAUCGCAGCUGGACUUUUGGAAAACAAGGCUGCUGAGGUAAAGGACACCAGUGUGUGCAGGACGGCAGUGGGCAAGCCCCACAAGUUUCCUUCUGGAAAGGAGAGCGAUGUUCUGCCCACACAGCCUGCUGGGUACAGAAUGCUGUCACACCAGGAAUGGGAGGAAGCCUCAGUCUCAAGCCUGACAGUUGCAGUGUUCUAGAAUAGAAUACCAAAUCCAGCAGCUCGUGACUCUAGCAGGGAGUCUUCCAACCACCGCUGAGAUUCCCCUAACAGAGGCCAGUCUAAGGACACCUAGGAUCCCAGGAUUGGAUGGCCCUAGUGGGACUUCCAGGCUUAUCUGGCCUGCAUGGUGGUCCUCCGUUCUUCAUUGCUACAGUAAAAUGAAGGUCUUAUGGGCCUCUGCAUA